RNAcentral lists this ribosomal RNA (506 nucleotides) under uncultured bacterium. RNAcentral's name for it is "partial 16S ribosomal RNA". It matches the Rfam family "Bacterial small subunit ribosomal RNA", at positions 30 to 523 of the family's 1533-position model. The record is from RNAcentral.
AUUGAACGCCGGCGGCAGGCCUAACACAUGCAAGUCGGACGGUAACAGGAAACAGCUUGCUGUUUCGCUGACGAGUGGCGGACGGGUGAGUAAUGUCUAGGAAACUGCCUGAUGGAGGGGGAUAACUACUGGAAACGGUAGCUAAUACCGCAUAACGUCGCAAGACCAAAGAGGGGGACCUUCGGGCCUCUUGCCAUCGGAUGUGCCCAGAUGGGAUUAGCUAGUAGGUGGGGUAACGGCUCACCUAGGCGACGAUCCCUAGCUGGUCUGAGAGGAUGACCAGCCACACUGGAACUGAGACACGGUCCAGACUCCUACGGGAGGCAGCAGUGGGGAAUAUUGCACAAUGGGCGCAAGCCUGAUGCAGCCAUGUCGCGUGUAUGAAGAAGGCCUUCGGGUUGUAAAGUACUUUCAGCGGGGAGGAAGGGAGUAAAGUUAAUACCUUUGCUCAUUGACGUUACCCGCAGAAGAAGCACCGGCUAACUCCGUGCCAGCAGCCGCAGUAA